CCUACGGGUGGCAGCAGUGAGGAAUAUUGGUCAAUGGCCGUAAGGCUGAACCAGCCAAGUCGCGGGAAGGAUGAAGGAUUUCUGGUUUGUAAACUCCUUUUAUAGGGGAAUAUAGGUAUUGACGUGAGGAUAUUUUCAUGUACUCUAUGAUUAAGCAUCGGCUAACUCCGUGCCAGCAGCCGCGGUAAUACGGAGGAUGCGAGCGUUAUCCGGAUUUAUUGGGUUUAAAGGGUGCGUAGGUUGUUUUUUAAGUCAGCGGUGAAAGUUUGUGGCUCAACCAUGAAAUUGCCGUUGAAACUGGAAGACUUGAGUGUGUUUGAGGUAGGCGGAAUGCGUGGUGUAGCGGUGAAAUGCGUAGAUAUCACGCAGAACUCCGAUGGCGAAGGCAGCUUACUAGGCCAUAACUGACGCUGAGGCACGAAAGCGUGGGGAGCAAACAGGAUUAGAUACCCGUGUAGUC
This 460-nucleotide ribosomal RNA is filed under the name uncultured bacterium. RNAcentral's name for it is "partial 16S ribosomal RNA". It matches the Rfam family "Bacterial small subunit ribosomal RNA", at positions 338 to 795 of the family's 1533-position model. The record is from RNAcentral.